This 587-nucleotide long non-coding RNA is filed under the name Anas platyrhynchos platyrhynchos (common mallard). RNAcentral's name for it is "lncRNA (ENSAPLG00000021450.1)". The record is from RNAcentral. Lineage: Eukaryota; Metazoa; Chordata; Aves; Anseriformes; Anatidae.
AUGUGCCUUUGGAGCUGGCUCCACAAAUGGAAGAGGGCACUGAAGAGGACUUCUCCAUUUCCUGGAUAUUUGCAUCAUAUGGUGGCAGUAUCGGAAGAAGGAGGGGAAGCAGAUUUGGGACCCCAGUCCCAGGCAGAGUUGCAGAUUCCACUUGUUAAAACAAGAGUUCCCAGAGGGAGCCCUAACGGCAGGCUCCAGAUGGGGCAGGCACAACGUAUCAAACUGUAAUUCCACUCACGGGUUCGAGGAUCAAAUCCUAUAUCUCUCCAAAGGAUGUAAGUUGAAUUUGAUGCCUAAAUCCCAAAGCAUUUUGCUCAGCUGCUGCAUAACCCUGUACACUAUAGGAACAUGAAACUUUGCCUCUGUGCAUGCUCCCAGAUGCUUUAUAUUUGACAAUAUUGAGCAUUUUGGCAUCUGUGUUACACCUGAGUCCUUUCAGGUUUCACCGAGUGGAUGCUGUGCCAUCUGUCAGCGUGGAUGUUUGAUGCAUUUGACAUGCUCUCAGCCUAGUGCCUGGAACAGAAACUGGGAUCUUUACUGAAAGAGAGGAAAAGGAAAAUCUUGAGUUGUAGCCUCUUUUUUUUUUU